UUGCUCAUUUUGGCAGCACGUAUGACUAAAAUUGGAAGGAUACAGAGAUUAGCAUGGCCCCUCCAAGGAUGACAUGCAAAUUCAUGAAGCAUUCCAUAUUUCA
Molecule: small nuclear RNA, 103 nt
Organism: Zalophus californianus (California sea lion)
Lineage: Eukaryota; Metazoa; Chordata; Mammalia; Carnivora; Otariidae
Source: Ensembl